GGGUCUACAUCAGCGUCUGCAACA
RNAcentral lists this non-coding RNA (24 nucleotides) under Arabidopsis thaliana (thale cress). Lineage: Eukaryota; Viridiplantae; Streptophyta; Magnoliopsida; Brassicales; Brassicaceae. The record is from RNAcentral.